This 512-nucleotide ribosomal RNA is filed under the name Fusarium sp. SIN65. RNAcentral's name for it is "eukaryotic LSU rRNA". The stretch from base 156 to 309 matches the Rfam family "5.8S ribosomal RNA". Lineage: Eukaryota; Fungi; Ascomycota; Sordariomycetes; Hypocreales; Nectriaceae. The record is from RNAcentral.
CAUUACCGAGUUAUACAACUCAUCAACCCUGUGAACAUACCUAAAACGUUGCUUCGGCGGGAACAGACGGCCCUGUAACAACGGGCCGCCCCCGCCAGAGGACCCCUAACUCUGUUUUUAUAAUGUUUUUCUGAGUAAACAAGCAAAUAAAUUAAAACUUUCAACAACGGAUCUCUUGGCUCUGGCAUCGAUGAAGAACGCAGCGAAAUGCGAUAAGUAAUGUGAAUUGCAGAAUUCAGUGAAUCAUCGAAUCUUUGAACGCACAUUGCGCCCGCCAGUAUUCUGGCGGGCAUGCCUGUUCGAGCGUCAUUACAACCCUCAGGCCCCCGGGCCUGGCGUUGGGGAUCGGCAGAAGCCCCCUGUGGGCACACGCCGUCCCUCAAAUACAGUGGCGGUCCCGCCGCAGCUUCCAUUGCGUAGUAGCUAACACCUCGCAACUGGAGAGCGGCGCGGCCAUGCCGUAAAACACCCAACUUCUGAAUGUUGACCUCGAAUCAGGUAGGAAUACCCGC